CAGCUUGGAUCUGACGUUCCUGUGGCUGUGGCAUAGGCCGGUGGCUACAGCUCCACUUAGGCCUCUAGCCUGGGAAACUCCAUAUGGUGCAGGUGCAGCCGUAAAAAGACAAAAAGACAAAAAAAAGAAAAAGAAAAGAGAAAGAAAGAAAGGAAGAAAGAAAGAAAAGAAAGAAAGGAAGAAAGAAAAGAAAAGAAAAAUUUGAGGGAAUUCCCAUCAUGGCUCAGCAGUUAAUGAACCUAACUGGUAUCCAUGAGAUAGUGGGCUCAAUCCCUGUCCUUGCUCAGUGGGUUGAGGAGUCAGCAUUGCUGCUUGGAUCUGGUGUUGCUUAGUCUGUGGCCUAGGCUGAUGGCUGCAGCUCCGCUUUAACCCCUAGCCUGGGUACUUCUAUAUGCCAUGGGUAUGGCCCUAAAAAGGCAAAAAAGAAAAAAAAAUAAGAAAAAUUCGAAUAAAAGAUAAGGAGAUCUUAGACUAGGAUGGCGACAGGAAGCAUGGUGAGAAGUAGUCAGAUUCUGGAUCUUUUUUGAAGGGGGGAGUCCGCUAGAUUUCCUUGUCAGAUUGUUUGUGGCACAUGAAAAAAAAGAGCCAAAGAUAAUUCUAAAGUUUAUGACCUCAGCAACUAAAAUUAAGUAGUAACAGCAGCUCAGAUGGAAAAGUGGCAGGUGAAACAGAAUUGGUGUGUGCCUGUGUGUAUGGUGGUGGCAGGGUUUAUUUGCAGUUCAGCUUUAACAUAUUAAGUUUGACAUUUCAAUUCCCCUUUUUUCCCUUUUAUUUUUUUUUUUAUGGAAGGCAGAUUUAGCCAAACAAUCUCAAGACUGUUAAAUAGGCAAAGAAGUAGUGAAGAGGGUAUGGACAAUAGGCUCCUGUGAAUCUGGACUCCAGCACCAGCUUCUCCACUUACUUGCUGUUGGAACUUUUGGAAGACACCUUAAUCUAGUCCCUUUUAAUUAUUUAAAUGCCUUAAAGGAAAGAAAUCCAGUCUCUAACUGUGUAUUCUCUGGCCUCCUCUCGCUAGAAGGUAGGCUGCCUAAUAGGCUGUGCCUUGCUUACUAUUGUUUCUGUCUUGCCUACCACAUGAAUACCUUUCCUAAAACA
Molecule: long non-coding RNA, 1095 nt
Filed under: Sus scrofa (pig)
Lineage: Eukaryota; Metazoa; Chordata; Mammalia; Artiodactyla; Suidae
Description: lncRNA (ENSSSCG00070011516.1)
Source: RNAcentral